This 253-nucleotide ribosomal RNA is filed under the name uncultured bacterium. RNAcentral describes it as "partial 16S ribosomal RNA". It matches the Rfam family "Bacterial small subunit ribosomal RNA", at positions 524 to 776 of the family's 1533-position model. The record is from RNAcentral.
UACGAGAGGCCCAAACGUUAUUCGGAUUUACUGGGCUUAAAGAGUUCGUAGGCGGUCCGUCAAGUGGGGUGUGAAAGCCCUCGGCUCAACCGAGGAAUUGCGCUCCAAACUGUCGGGCUCGAGGGAGAUAGAGGUGAGCGGAACUGAUGGUGGAGCGGUGAAAUGCGUUGAUAUCAUCAGGAACACCAGAGGCGAAGGCGGCUCACUGGGUCUCUUCUGACGCUGAGGAACGAAAGCCAGGGGAGCGAACGGG